GGGGCCUUAGCUCAGCUGGGAGAGCGCCUUCUUUGCACGCAGGAGGUCAGCGGUUCGAUCCCGCUAGGCUCCA
This 73-nucleotide transfer RNA is filed under the name Streptococcus mitis. Its description in RNAcentral is "tRNA-Ala". It matches the Rfam family "tRNA". Rfam says of the family: Transfer RNA (tRNA) molecules are approximately 80 nucleotides in length. Their secondary structure includes four short double-helical elements and three loops (D, anti-codon, and T loops). The record is from RNAcentral. Lineage: Bacteria; Bacillati; Bacillota; Bacilli; Lactobacillales; Streptococcaceae.